Molecule: long non-coding RNA, 593 nt
Filed under: Mytilus galloprovincialis (Mediterranean mussel)
Lineage: Eukaryota; Metazoa; Mollusca; Bivalvia; Mytilida; Mytilidae
Source: RNAcentral
GUAAAAUCUCAGUAAAAAUUAUCAUAUUACAAAAUAUUACAAUUUAAACUUUGUUAACAUUUUUUUUAAAACUAAUAUACCCAAGUGGAAAAGGCUCUUAUUUUAAGAUAUUCUCCUGCAAGUUUUGUAACAUUUUGCUUACUUCUGUUUUAAUGCCUUCCAUUCUUGCAAUAGUUUCAAUGAAUAUAUGUCUAAUGUUUAUGGUGUAAUAUCUUAUUUUAUAAUACUAAAUUUUAAAUUUCUGCACAAAAGUUUUGAAAGACAUUUUUUUUUAAUGUUUAUUUUUGUUUUUGGACAUAGCAGUUGAUUUAAUAUCUUCUUCCAAAAAAAACUUAUCAAUGUACCAACUAAUCCAAUUAUAUAUGGUAGUAUCGAGGUUGACUCUUUUAUUAGAUGUUUGCCAUUGAACAGAAUUCAUGGAUGUACCUGCUAUAUCUAAUCACCAAUUGAAAUCAUAUGAAAUUGCCUCAAAUGUGUCCUCCAAAUUAGAAAAAUUAUAAUUUAAUAUACAAACUAUACACUAACAUUAUCAUUUAUACAAACGUAUUACUAAUUGUUUUAUUUUUGACAACACAUUUUGUAUACACUUAACA